CACACUGAGGUUAGAAAGCGUGGGUAGCAACAGGAUUAGAUACCCUGGUUAGUCCACGCCGUAAACGAUGUCGACCAGCCGUUGUGUGCCUAGCGCACUUUGUGGCGAAGUUAACGCGAUAAGUCGACCGCCUGGGGAGUACGGCCGCAAGGUUAAAACUCAAAUGAAUUGACGGGGGCCCGCACAAGCGGUGGAGCAUGUGGUUUAAUUCGAUGCAACGCGAAGAACCUUACCUACUCUUGACAUCCUGCGAAUUCGGUAGAGAUACCUUAGUGCCUUCGGGAACGCAGAGACAGGUGCUGCAUGGCUGUCGUCAGCUCGUGUUGUGAAAUGUUGGGUUAAGUCCCGUAACGAGCGCAACCCUUGUCCUUAUUUGCCAGCGCGUAAUGGCGGGAACUCUAAGGAGACUGCCGGUGACAAACCGGAGGAAGGUGGGGACGACGUCAAGUCAUCAUGGCCCUUACGAGUAGGGCUACACACGUGCUACAAUGGUCGGUACAAAGGGUUGCGAGCUCGCGAGAGUCAGCCAAUCCCGAAAAGCCGAUCUCAGUCCGGAUCGGAGUCUGCAACUCGACUCCGUGAAGUCGGAAUCGCUAGUAAUCGUAGAUCAGAAUGCUACGGUGAAUACGUUCCCGGGCCUUGUACACACCGCCCGUCACACCAUGGGAGUGGACUGCACCAGAAGUGGUUAGCC
RNAcentral lists this ribosomal RNA (694 nucleotides) under uncultured bacterium. Its description in RNAcentral is "bacterial SSU rRNA". It matches the Rfam family "Bacterial small subunit ribosomal RNA", at positions 742 to 1435 of the family's 1533-position model. The record is from RNAcentral.